RNAcentral lists this ribosomal RNA (248 nucleotides) under uncultured bacterium. RNAcentral describes it as "partial 16S ribosomal RNA". It matches the Rfam family "Bacterial small subunit ribosomal RNA", at positions 529 to 776 of the family's 1533-position model. The record is from RNAcentral.
GGGGGGCAAGCGUUGUUCGGAAUUACUGGGCGUAAAGGGCUCGUAGGCGGCCAACUAAGGCAGACGUGAAAUCCCUCGGCUUAACCGGGGAACUGCGUCUGAUACUGGAUGGCUAGAGGUUGGGAGAGGGAUGCGGAAUUCCAGGUGUAGCGGUGAAAUGCGUAGAUAUCUGGAGGAACACCGGUGGCGAAGGCGGCAUCCUGGACCAAUAUUGACGCUGAGGAGCGAAAGCUAGGUGAGCAAACGGG